RNAcentral lists this ribosomal RNA (576 nucleotides) under uncultured eukaryote. Its description in RNAcentral is "SSU rRNA". It matches the Rfam family "Eukaryotic small subunit ribosomal RNA", at positions 203 to 783 of the family's 1831-position model. The record is from RNAcentral.
UAUUUAUUAGAUAAAAAACCAAUGCCCUUCGGGGCUCUUUGGUGAUUCAUGAUAACUUAACGGAUCGCAUGGCCUUGCGCCGGCGACGGUUCAUUCAAAUUUCUGCCCUAUCAACUUUCGAUGGUAAGGUAUUGGCUUACCAUGGUUUCAACGGGUAACGGGGAAUUAGGGUUCGAUUCCGGAGAGGGAGCCUGAGAAACGGCUACCACAUCCAAGGAAGGCAGCAGGCGCGCAAAUUACCCAAUCCCGACACGGGGAGGUAGUGACAAUAAAUACUGAUACAGGGCUCUUUUGGGUCUUGUAAUCGGAAUGAGUACAAUUUAAACCCCUUAACGAGGAACAAUUGGAGGGCAAGUCUGGUGCCAGCAGCCGCGGUAAUUCCAGCUCCAAUAGCGUAUAUUAAAGUUGUUGCCGUUAAAAAGCUCGUAGUUGAACCUUGGACCUGGCUGAUCUGUCCUCCUAAUCGAGCGCACGGAUUCGGUCGGGUCUUUCCUUCUGGGGAGCCCUAUGCCCUUCACUGGGUGUAGUGGGGAACCAAGACUUUUUACCUUGAAAAAGUUGCAGUGUUACAGGCUC